GACGAACGCUGGCGGCGUGCUUAACACAUGCAAGUCGAACGGAAAGGCCCUGCUUUUGUGGGGUGCUCGAGUGGCGAACGGGUGAGUAACACGUGAGUAACCUGCCUUGACUUUGGGAUAACUUUAGGAAACUGGGGCUAAUACCGGAUAGGAGCUCCUGCUGCCUGGUGGGGGUUGGAAAGUUUCGGCGGUUGGGGAUGGACUCGCGGCUUAUCAGCUUGUUGGUGGGGUAGUGGCUUACCAAGGCUUUGACGGGUAGCCGGCCUGAGAGGGUGACCGGCCACAUUGGGACUGAGAUACGGCCCAGACUCCUACGGGAGGCAGCAGUGGGGAAUAUUGCACAAUGGGCGGAAGCCUGAUGCAGCAACGCCGCGUGCGGGAUGACGGCCUUCGGGUUGUAAACCGCUUUCGCCUGUGACGAAGCGUGAGUGACGGUAAUGGGUAAAGAAGCACCGGCUAACUACGUG
Molecule: ribosomal RNA, 467 nt
Filed under: uncultured bacterium
Lineage: Bacteria
Description: partial 16S ribosomal RNA
Rfam family: Bacterial small subunit ribosomal RNA
Source: RNAcentral